RNAcentral lists this long non-coding RNA (1189 nucleotides) under Lupinus angustifolius (narrow-leaved blue lupine). RNAcentral's name for it is "long non-coding RNA (LANG_LNC003549)". Lineage: Eukaryota; Viridiplantae; Streptophyta; Magnoliopsida; Fabales; Fabaceae. The record is from RNAcentral.
GCAAGGAUAAAGUAGAUGAGUUGAAGGAGAAGAAAACAUAGCGGAACUGUGGUGAGGGUGAUAUAUGUUGAUCCAGAAUCCCAGAAAUUCAUGUCCUGGAUUAGGAUCAUGGUGGAGAUAUGACUCAUGUGUUGAGUUUGGCCAUGAGACAGGUGCUGACAAUAUCUUUGUAGAUGUUGGGAGAAUGAUCUCAUUUGAAAUGAGAAAUGGAAAAUCCUAAUGGUGUGUCUAAGAUAUCAUAGUGAAGGAUAUUAAUUGUUAGCAUAUCCACAAAAGCAAUGGGUGUUAUUUGACUUUGAUGUAGGGUGUAACAUAUGCAUUGGCUUUGAUGCAAGAUGUAACGCGGGCAUUGGAAGAGAUGCAGGGUGUGACAUGGGCAUUAACUUGGAUGAGUAUGUGACAAAGGUAUUAGUUAGCAUUGACGCAAAGUGUGUGUUAUGGGUAUACUCCUUAUGAUGGAGUAUGAUAGUUCUUUUGAUUUAGGAUUGUCGGAGUAGACAAUGGUGGUAGCGGUUGAGGCUUUCCAAGGAAGCUCCAAGGUUCAGUUUGACUAAGUAUUGAAGAGAACAAUUGUUGGUGAACUUUUGUGUAGACGUUCCAAUGUAUCGAAAGACUUCCUAGCAAUAGGUGGCUAUGUGGCAUGUUCCAUUUGAUAGCAGUACGGAAAGCUGCACUACAAGUUUGGAGAGCUAGGCUCUUAGUAACAUCUUCAAGGAUACUCAGAAGUUCUUUGAUGUAGGGGAGCAUUUAAAGAGAAUUAGGCAUUGAGCAAGGUGAAGUCAUAUAUUCGCUAAGGUAGAAAUUCUUGUGUAGAUUUCUUAAGGAGUAAGAUAUUCAUCUAUUUCAAUCGAGGUGGAGAUUGUUGGGGAUGUUUGAAAUAUGUUAUUAUAUGAAGUCUCACAUUGCAUAGCAUUAUAAUAUAGUAGAAUAUCAAUGUUAUAUAUUGGACUCAGGUCUCUUGUUAUAAUGUGCACCAAAUAUAAGCACUAAAUAGAAAUACAUCAUGGGCAGUUGGGCUCAUGGGUGUGCUAGAGUUUGUAAUUCUUAUUCUCUAAUAAUAUAUUAGUAUUCGCUCACCGUUCCUGGGGACGUAGGCACACUUGACUGAACUCUGUUAACAAAUUCUCUUGUGUCUUCUCUGUACAAACAAUUUGAAUUAGAGACAAUCGAAGUUGAUACUAAAUUAUUU